AUGAUCUGAAGUCAGGUGAGAUUACCCGCUGAACUUAAGCAUAUCAUAAGC
Molecule: ribosomal RNA, 51 nt
Filed under: Rhizopus arrhizus
Lineage: Eukaryota; Fungi; Mucoromycota; Mucoromycetes; Mucorales; Rhizopodaceae
Description: Rhizopus oryzae partial 28S ribosomal RNA
Source: RNAcentral